Non-coding RNA from Myodes glareolus (Bank vole), 3024 nucleotides. The record is from RefSeq and is a predicted model, not a curated record. Lineage: Eukaryota; Metazoa; Chordata; Mammalia; Rodentia; Cricetidae.
AAUUGUUUUAAAAUGCAGGAUCUUCUCUUUUUUGCUACUUGUUUUUCAACUUCACUUCUUUUAAUAUUCAAAUAUAUACAUAUGAAUGAAUGUAUAUAUGUAUGUAUGUAUAUAUAUAUAUUAAUUCAAACAACUUUGCAUGCCUAUACCCUAUUUGCAUGCCAUCUUGUACACAGUCCUCCAAAUGUCAAAGAGUCUUUGCUGAGUCUUUCUGAAGCUAUUCUGGCCUCUUCAAACUGACCCUGAAUGAUCAGGAAGGCAUGCCUUUGCACUUGAUUAAGCCUGAUUUCCUCUGGGCAAAAGCAGCCUGGGUGGAAGCGAUAUCUGCUUUAUCCACCAGACUUCCCCUCCUCCUUUUUUGUGUCAACUGAGGUAGGGCUGGGACCCUGGUUUCUUCCUAAACCACUCCUGACCUCUACCUGAGGUCAUGAGAAGGAAAGGCCUGCAGCCCUGGAGUACUGAGCACACGGCAGAGGUGACUGAUGAGCAGAGUUGGAUGAGACAGAUGCAGGAAGCCCUACGCCUAUUACAGGCCUGCAGCUCAUCAACUAGCGAUGGAACGAGACACUGGAUGGUACAUUGAGUGGCCCCUGCCAACACCAUGGAUAUUCAGGGUCUGCCAGCCUUCCCUGGAGUACAGUCAUGAUUCAAACAGAGUAAACAGCUGAACUUCAGAGCUGAAGUCGGGGGAAAUGCCCUAAGACCUUGAAGAUCUGGGGUGACUGGGGUGUAGUGGUGAGGGUUUAAACAGAUUUUGAGAGAUUUGUUUCUCUUUCCAUCUAGCCAAAACAAAACCAUUCUGUUCCUGAGUUUGUUUGCUGUGAGCAAUAUGUGCCCAUGGUGUCUAUGAGACGUGAGGACCUGGCUUGGGCAUGACCGUGCCUGUCUUUCUGUUUGCUGAGUGGCUGUCAUUGGCAACAAGGAAGGUCAUUGCCAGGAAUCCAGAUUGUGGGUUCCACUUCCCAAAGACUUUUCCUCCUUCUCAGAGCCUAGAGGUCUUUGGGUUUCUGGGGAUUCGAAUGGGCCCAUUGUUCACUGUUGGUGAAGCAUUUACCCAAGAAAGCUGCCCUUGAACUCAUCUUGGUUCUGGGAUCUCUGGACUGUGAACAGUUGUUUGGAGCUGAAUAAGUCAUCUUUCCUUUUUCUAAUAUUAGAAAGUUCGACUUCUAUCCAACAUGACCCGUAAAAUAAUUAAGAAAUGGGAGGGGCUACAGAGACGGCUCAGCAUUUAAGAGCUUUUGUUACUUUUGUAGAAGACCUGGGUUUGGUUCUCAAGAUCCACAUGGUGGGCUCACAAGCAUCCAGAACUUCAAUUUCAGGAGAGCUCUUUUGACCUCUGAAUGACCUCUUUUGACCUCUGAAUGCACCAGGCAUGCACUUGGCACACACACAUACAUGCAGGUGAAAACACAUACACGUUAAAUAAAAGUAAGUAUAAAAACAUUAAGAAAUGGGAGAAGGUGUGGAUGUAGGUUUUUCUUCUCUUCCUCUUUGUGAGUGGUAGGGGAAGUGAGUACAAUUUGUUGAGUUCCCCAUUAUGUCUCAUUAGACACUUUUAUGUGUAAACGAAUUACCUGAAGUACAAUAAAACCGUAGAGUUCAUUUGAAUAGGAAGCAGUUUAUGAACUGGGGAAUGCCAAAGUGAGAGAGAGGUUUGCUGUUCUGCUAGAUUAGCAGAGGCAAGAAUUUACAAGGAAAAUUAGAAGCAGAACGAAGACAUCAUUUGAUUAACUGAAUCCAAAAUUCCCUUUGCCCCUUGCCUGUCGGAAAUUCCCUGGCCACAUCAUCUGACAUCGGCUCCCAUGCAUGGGUGUGCCUGAGUUUUAUUUCCAUCUGACAUUUCGAAGCGAUGACUAACAAUUGCCCAAAUGAAGAGCUGCUUCUCUUUGCAGUUUAACCAAGAGCAAAGUUAUGUUUGAGGCCUAGUUGUGUUUGCGUAAGAAUUUUCUAGUCCUUGUUUACAUUUUGUUUUUGCCAUAACUGCACCUUACAAAAUUCAAAGCAUGGCUACAAAAGGAAAAAGGAUGUUAUCCCUUUAUUUGUUUUUUUUUAUGUGUUAAAAAAUGAGGGGUUUAGUGUAUACAGAAGGUAUGAAAACCCUCUAAAGUUUUACAUUCUGUCUUGGAAGAACCCCAAUUUUGCCUGUAUUUUCAGUCUCUUUUAGUCUAUCCAACACAGGGCACGAUUGCUGAUAAUGUCAUUUCCAGGGAGAGUGAGUCGCUCAAUGGAGGAGGGGAAUGCGUGGGAUAAAGAUGACAGGAAUGAAGUCGAUGCAAUUAACAGCGACAUAUGAGGUGACACUGAUUUCUGUCUCGCCCCACCUUUCUGGGAUUUUACGGUAUUCGGCAGGCCAUCUCGCCUCUCUAUCCACCAGUGCGGGAAAUAGCCCUGAAAAGGGGAAACACACGUGGAAUGAUUUGGUCAACACGGGUAUCACCCUUGGUGCUUAAGUUCACGAAGGAGACGGAAAGGAAGCAGCCUAGAAAAUGAAUCACGGUGGAUGUACGUGUGUUUGCAUGUGUAUAUCAGAAUAUGUGGAGGCUGGAAGCCAAAUCAGUGUCGUCCUCUGGAGAACUCCACUUCAUCGGCUUUGAGAGACCUGGAAUCCGCAAGUUGCUUUUCAGUGAUCUUCAAGGAUCAGCCCAUGUCUGUGUCCCCUCCUGUUGUACCCGGAUGUCAUGUGGGUGCUGGUCCUCACUGUGGCACAGUAAGCACUCUCCCCACUGAGCCACCUCUUCACUCCAGAAACAGUGUCACAGUCACAGCUCUGGACACUUUAUCCAGAGCGGAGAUCAACAGGCCUGGGCACCGACACACAGAGGACGUCUGCAGGAGAGUCCAGCCCCACUACCACCUGUUUUAAGAGCCCGAGAUGACGAAUCUUGAUUAAAUGCAGAAGAUAAAAAGCCCUGAGUUGAUUUUUUUCUCAUUUCACAUGAGACUCCCUUGAUUUAAACAGCUCAGAAGGAGUAUAACAUAAUUCAGACUCACUUUUAACUAUGCAUAUAGAUAUUUAUUUACUAA